GGGUAGCCUAGUGGUUAGAGUGUAGAGGCGGCAGGGUAGCCUAGUGGUUAGAGUGUAGAGGCGGCAGGGUAGCCUAGUGGUUAGAGUGUAGAGGCGGCAGGGUAGCCUAGUGGUUAGAGUGUAGAGGCGGCAGGGUAGCCUAGUGGUUAGAGUGUAGAGGUGGCAGGGUAGCCUAGUGGUUAGAGUGUAGAGGUGGCAGGGUAGCCUAGUGGUUAGAGUGUAGAGGUGGCAGGGUAGCCUAGUGGUUAGAGUGUAGAGGUGGCAGGGUAGCCUAGUGGUUAGAGUGUAGAGGUGGCAGGGUAGCCUAGUGGUUAGAGUGGAGAGGUGGCAGGGUAGCCUAGUGGUUAGAGUGGAGAGGCGGCAGGGUAGCCUAGUGGUUAGAGUGUAGAGGUGGCAGGGUAGCCUAGUGGUUAGAGUGGAGGGGCGGCAGGGUAGCCUAGUGGUUAGAGUGUAGAGGUGGCAGGGUAGCCUAGUGGUUAGAGUGUAGAGGUGGCAGGGUAGCCUAGUGGUUAGAGUGUAGGGGCGGCAGGGUAGCCUAGUGGUUAGAGUGUAGAGGCGGCAGGGUAGCCUAGUGGUUAGAGUGUAGAGGCGGCAGGGUAGCCUAGUGGUUAGAGUGUAGAGGCGGCAGGGUAGCCUAGUGGUUAGAGUGUAGAGGCGGCAGGGUAGCCUAGUGGUUAGAGUGUAGAGGCGGCAGGGUAGCCUAGUGGUUAGAGUGUAGAGGCGGCAGGGUAGCCUAGUGGUUAGAGUGUAGAGGCGGCAGGGUAGCCUAGUGGUUAGAGUGUAGAGGCGGCAGGGUAGCCUAGUGGUUAGAGUGUAGAGGCGGCAGGGUAGCCUAGUGGUUAGAGCGUUGGACUAGUAACCGGAAGGUUGCGAGUUCAAAUCCCCGAGCUGACAAGGUACAAAUCUGUCGUUCUGCCCCUGAACAGGCAGUUAACCCACUGUUCCCAGGCCGUCAUUGAAAAUAAUAAUGUGUUCUUAACUGACUUGCCUGGUUAAAUAAAGGUAAAAUAAAAAAAAUAAAAAAAA
Long non-coding RNA from Oncorhynchus keta (chum salmon), 1026 nucleotides. RefSeq lists it as uncharacterized. The record is from RefSeq and is a predicted model, not a curated record. The transcript has 2 exons. Lineage: Eukaryota; Metazoa; Chordata; Actinopteri; Salmoniformes; Salmonidae.